CCCUUAGAUGUCCUGGGCCGCACGCGUGCUACACUGACGCCUACAGCGAGUACUUCCCAGCCCCGAGAGGUGGCUGGUAAUCAGCAAUAGGCGUCGUGAUGGGGAUAGAUCUUUGGAAUUAUGGAUCUUGAACGAGGAAUGCCUAGUAAGCGAAGGUCAUUAGCCUGCGCUGAUUAAGUCCCUGCCCUUUGUACACACCGCCCGUCGCUCCUACCGAUUUCGAGUGGUCCGGUGAAUCUUUCGGACUGCGCGCGGCCUCGUGCCGUGUCGCGGAAAGUCAGGUAAACCUUAUCACUUAGAGGAAGGAGAAGUCGUAACA
This 319-nucleotide ribosomal RNA is filed under the name uncultured eukaryote. RNAcentral's name for it is "partial 18S ribosomal RNA". It matches the Rfam family "Eukaryotic small subunit ribosomal RNA", at positions 1470 to 1796 of the family's 1831-position model. The record is from RNAcentral.